UGGGGAAUCUUGCACAAUGGACGAAAGUCUGAUGCAGCAACGCCGCGUGGGGGAUGAAGCUUUUCGGAGUGUAAACCCCUUUCGACCCGGAAGAAAGCCCGCAAGGGUUUGACGGUACGGGUAUAAGAAGCCCCGGCUAACUACGUGCCAGCAGCCGCGGUAAAACGUAGGGGGCCAGCGUUGCUCGGAAUUACUGGGCGUAAAGGGUCCGUAGGCGGUGUGGCAAGUUGGUAGUGAAAUCUCUGGGCUUAACCCAGAGGCUGCUGCCAAAACUGCCGUGCUAGAGUGUGAGAGAGGCGAGUGGAAUUACGGGUGUAGCGGUGAAAUGCGUAGAUAUCCGUAGGAACAUCCGAGGCGAAGGCGGCUCGCUGGAUCACAACUGACGCUGAGGGACGAAAGCUAGGGGAGCAAACAGGAUUAGAUACCCUGGUAGUCCUAGCCCUAAACCAUCAGGACUUGGGGUGUGCCCUGUACGGGGCACGUCCCGUAGCUAACGCGUUAAGUCCUGCGCCUGGGGAGUACGGUCGCAAGGCUG
Molecule: ribosomal RNA, 535 nt
Filed under: uncultured bacterium
Lineage: Bacteria
Description: bacterial SSU rRNA
Rfam family: Bacterial small subunit ribosomal RNA
Source: RNAcentral